GAUGAACGCUGGCGGCGUGCCUAAUACAUGCAAGUCGAGCGAACAGACGAGGAGCUUGCUCCUCUGACGUUAGCGGCGGACGGGUGAGUAACACGUGGAUAACCUACCUAUAAGACUGGGAUAACUUCGGGAAACCGGAGCUAAUACCGGAUAAUAUAUUGAACCGCAUGGUUCAAUAGUGAAAGACGGUUUUGCUGUCACUUAUAGAUGGAUCCGCGCCGCAUUAGCUAGUUGGUAAGGUAACGGCUUACCAAGGCAACGAUGCGUAGCCGACCUGAGAGGGUGAUAGGCCACACUGGAACUGAGACACGGUCCAGACUCCUACGGGAGGCAGCAGUAGGGAAUCUUCCGCAAAGGGCGAAAGCCUGACGGAGCAACGCCGCGUGAGUGAUGAAGGUCUUCGGAUCGUAAAACUCUGUUAUUAGGGAAGAACAAAUGUGUAAGUAACUAUGCACGUCUUGACGGUACCUAAUCAGAAGGCCACGGCUAACUACGUG
This 497-nucleotide ribosomal RNA is filed under the name uncultured bacterium. RNAcentral's name for it is "partial 16S ribosomal RNA". It matches the Rfam family "Bacterial small subunit ribosomal RNA", at positions 28 to 507 of the family's 1533-position model. The record is from RNAcentral.